This 207-nucleotide ribosomal RNA is filed under the name uncultured bacterium. Its description in RNAcentral is "partial 16S ribosomal RNA". It matches the Rfam family "Bacterial small subunit ribosomal RNA", at positions 568 to 774 of the family's 1533-position model. The record is from RNAcentral.
UGCGUAGGCGGCCAGGCAAGUCAGGUGUGAAAUCUUCCGGCUCAACCGGAAAACUGCGCUUGAAACUGCUUGGCUUGAGUGAGAUAGGGGUGUGCGGAACUUCCGGUGGAGCGGUGAAAUGUGUUGAGAUCGGAAGGAACACCGGUGGCGAAAGCGGCACACUGGGUCUUCACUGACGCUGAGGCACGAAAGCUAGGGGAGCGAACA